This 231-nucleotide ribosomal RNA is filed under the name uncultured bacterium. RNAcentral describes it as "partial 16S ribosomal RNA". It matches the Rfam family "Bacterial small subunit ribosomal RNA", at positions 123 to 353 of the family's 1533-position model. The record is from RNAcentral.
AACGUGUCCUGUUNUGGGGGAGUAACUGAUCGAAAGAUCAGCUAAUACCGCAUGAGACCUGAGGGUGAAAGCGGGGGAUCGCAAGACCUCGCGCGACAGGAGCGGCCGAUGUCUGAUUAGCUAGUUGGUGAGAUAAAAGCUUACCAAGGCGACGAUCAGUAGCUGGUCUGAGAGGAUGAUCAGCCACAUUGGGACUGAGACACGGCCCAGACUCCUACGGGAGGCAGCAUG